AACGAACGCUGGCGGCAUGCCUAACACAUGCAAGUCGAACGAGACCUUCGGGUCUAGUGGCGCACGGGUGCGUAACGCGUGGGAACCUGCCCUUAGGUUCGGAAUAACUCCCCGAAAGGGGUGCUAAUACCGGAUAAUGUCUUCGGACCAAAGAUUUAUCGCCUUUGGAUGGGCCCGCGUUGGAUUAGCUAGUUGGUAGGGUAAAAGCCUACCAAGGCGACGAUCCAUAGCUGGUCUAGAGGAUGAUCAGCCACACUGGGACUGAGACACGGCCCAGACUCCUACGGGAGGCAGCAGUGGGGAAUAUUGGACAAUGGGCGAAAGCCUGAUCCAGCAAUGCCGCGUGAGUGAUGAAGGCCUUAGGGUUGUAAAGCUCUUUUAACCGGGAUGAUAAUGACAGUACCGGGAGAAUAAGCUCCGGCUAACUCCGUG
Molecule: ribosomal RNA, 432 nt
Filed under: uncultured bacterium
Lineage: Bacteria
Description: partial 16S ribosomal RNA
Rfam family: Bacterial small subunit ribosomal RNA
Source: RNAcentral